UGGGGAAUAUUGGACAAUGGGCGAAAGCCUGAUCCAGCAAUGCCGCGUGAGUGAUGAAGGCCUUAGGGUUGUAAAGCUCUUUUACCCGGGAUGAUAAUGACAGUACCGGGAGAAUAAGCCCCGGCUAACUCCGUGCCAGCAGCCGCGGUAAUACGGAGGGGGCUAGCGUUGUUCGGAAUUACUGGGCGUAAAGCGCGCGUAGGCGGCUUUGUAAGUUAGAGGUGAAAGCCCGGGGCUCAACCCCGGAAUUGCCUUUAAGACUGCAUCGCUAGAAUCGUGGAGAGGUAAGUGGAAUUCCGAGUGUAGAGGUGAAAUUCGUAGAUAUCUGGAGGAAUACCGGUGGCGAAGGCGGCAUCCUGGACCAUUACUGACGCUGAGGCGCGAAAGCUAGGGGAGCAAA
Molecule: ribosomal RNA, 400 nt
Filed under: uncultured bacterium
Lineage: Bacteria
Description: bacterial SSU rRNA
Rfam family: Bacterial small subunit ribosomal RNA
Source: RNAcentral